ACUGCUCCAGCGUCUCCAACACACACAAGUGUCCCGCUGAAGUGACGCCCGUCCGGAGGAAGAGGACGCUCUCAAAACCGGCAGCAAAGAACAGAAACAACGCCCGAAUUACAGAUUUUUUCCCAAAGAGAAGGAAGACUACAGAAACCAAGAGCAUCCAGAAUCCUUUCCACACAAGUUCCAAUGAAGCAGCUCAGUGCAAAACAAUAAGGUGAACAUCCUGCUGAAAAUGGACGAUUUACUAUAUUUAUGUUUGAUGGACUGGACCAAGGCCUAUUCACUGCACCAAAGGAUUUUGUUAUAUGUUAUUUUAUUACACUUUAUUUUAUUGCCAUUUUUAGUAUUUGUGGAACGGGGUUAAAUUAUACCACUUUUCUGUUAUUUAUUCUAUUUAUGGACUUUUAUUUAAUGUCUUUGCAUUUUUUUUAUUUUUAUUAUUGAUAAGUUGUUGUAACAAAUAUGUUUGUUUCUAGAUGUUUUUUUUUCUUCUCAUUUUCAUCCUGUUGUUAUGUGAGCAUUUGAAAGACUUAAUGACAUUUUGUUUCCGUGUGUGUCUUCUUCAAUCUUGUGGGUGGAUUUCUGCAAUAUGAGCUGCUUCGGUUAACUAUAUAGAAAAGCACUGUUUUGUCCUUGUCAUGUUUGCCUAAAUGAACUGAGAUUGUAAAUGCCUACAAAUAUUGCAAUUUUAAUAAACUGCUUUAACAGUGA
Long non-coding RNA from Perca flavescens (yellow perch), 708 nucleotides. RefSeq lists it as uncharacterized. NCBI's taxonomy places the organism in Eukaryota, Metazoa, Chordata, Actinopteri, Perciformes, Percidae. The record is from RefSeq and is a predicted model, not a curated record. The transcript has 2 exons.